Sitodiplosis mosellana (orange wheat blossom midge) is the source of this 455-nucleotide long non-coding RNA. RefSeq lists it as uncharacterized. The record is from RefSeq and is a predicted model, not a curated record. The transcript is spliced from 2 exons. NCBI's taxonomy places the organism in Eukaryota, Metazoa, Arthropoda, Insecta, Diptera, Cecidomyiidae.
CCGUGGUGUAUUUACUACGAGCGUCUUGACAUUAUUUAAAGAAAACAAAAAUAAGUUUUAUCGAAAUAUUUGAUCUUUUUUUUUUUAAUUUUCAUUAAACACACUAACAAUCAGCUGCUAAAAAUCGAUAUUUGCAUGGCUUGUACUUCAUCUAACCCACCAAAAUUUACAACAUAUUUUAAACUGGUUUGCAGGAGGUCUGGUGUGGUGCUGAUAAUUGAACGCUACUAAUGCAAAACAUCACUGAUGAGGACAAUUUUGCUCCAAAUUAUACCGACGAGGAUGAUAGUUCUCCGAAUGGCCCAAGCCAAAACGAACAACAUGCCUGCAUACUAACAUUUUUAUACUAUUACGUCUAUUUUAAAAUCUUUUUGUUUGCCAUAUUUUUGCGUAAAUUCGUUGAAUUUGUUAAUGUAAAAACGUUUUAGAUGUACAAUAAAAUGCAUUUUCUAUGA